AUUGAACGCUGGCGGCAGGCCUAACACAUGCAAGUCGAGCGGAUGAAGGGAGCUUGCUCCUGGAUUCAGCGGCGGACGGGUGAGUAAUGCCUAGGAAUCUGCCUGGUAGUGGGGGAUAACGUCCGGAAACGGGCGCUAAUACCGCAUACGUCCUGAGGGAGAAGUGGGGGAUCCUCGGAACUCACGCUUUCAGAUGAGCCUAGGUCGGAUUUGCUAGUUGGUGGGGUAAAGGCCUACCAAGGCGACGAUCCGUAACUGGUCUGAGAGGAUGAUCAGUCACACUGGAACUGAGACACGGUCCAGACUCCUACGGGAGGCAGCAGUGGGGAAUAUUGGACAAUGGGCGAAAGCCUGAUCCAGCCAUGCCGCGUGUGUGAAGAAGGUCUUCGGAUUGUAAAGCACUUUAAGUUGGGAGGAAGGGCAGUAAGUUAAUACCUUGCUGUUUUGACGUUACCAACAGAAUAAGCACCGGCUAACUUCGUG
Molecule: ribosomal RNA, 483 nt
Filed under: uncultured bacterium
Lineage: Bacteria
Description: partial 16S ribosomal RNA
Rfam family: Bacterial small subunit ribosomal RNA
Source: RNAcentral